This is a non-coding RNA of Catharus ustulatus (Swainson's thrush), 345 nucleotides long. NCBI's taxonomy places the organism in Eukaryota, Metazoa, Chordata, Aves, Passeriformes, Turdidae. The record is from the annotation of a RefSeq genome assembly.
GCCGCCGUGACCCUGCUGGAGUGCGGGGGGGACCUCCAGCCCCCCGGGGGGUCCCUGACUCUGCUCUGCCGCGGGAAUGAAUUCAGUUUCGAGAGUUUUGACAUGUACUGGGUCCGGCAAAGACCUGGGAAGGUGCUGGAAUUCGUCGCAUGGAUCAACGACGAUGGUGUCAGCACCGGUUACGCGCCGUCGGUCAAGGGCCGGUUCUCGAUCUCCAGGGACAACGGGCAGAGCUCGGUGACGCUGACCAUGAACAACCUCAAGGACGAGGAUUCCGCCGUUUAUUUCUGCGCUAAAGAUGCUGAUGGUGCUGAUGGUUAUGAUGCUGGUGAAAUUGACCGUUAA